RNAcentral lists this transfer RNA (64 nucleotides) under Scolytinae sp. BMNH 1274282. Its description in RNAcentral is "tRNA-Pro". It matches the Rfam family "tRNA". Rfam says of the family: Transfer RNA (tRNA) molecules are approximately 80 nucleotides in length. Their secondary structure includes four short double-helical elements and three loops (D, anti-codon, and T loops). The record is from RNAcentral. Lineage: Eukaryota; Metazoa; Arthropoda; Insecta; Coleoptera; Curculionidae.
CAGAAAAUAGUUUAUUAAAAUAUUAGUUUUGGAGGCUAAAGAUAGGAGUUAUUUUUUUUUCUGA